RNAcentral lists this ribosomal RNA (576 nucleotides) under Triticum aestivum (bread wheat). RNAcentral's name for it is "partial small subunit ribosomal RNA". The record is from RNAcentral. Lineage: Eukaryota; Viridiplantae; Streptophyta; Magnoliopsida; Poales; Poaceae.
AUGCUUUUUUGCAGGUGCCCGCUGGCGGUGGCGCUCUGGCAAACCAUGGCGGACCAAUGGCGAAUCCCGGAUGUCGCAUCAUUCCGCCGGACGGGAUCGGAGUGGCUUGCCCAAGCCCUUUGCGAUCUGCCGGAUAUGGAGAGGAUGGAGCUCAUGAUGACUUUGUGGCGAUGUUGGUUCGUUCGCAACGAGCUGGUGCACCACAAGAAGCCGCCGCCGAUUGAAGUGUCCAAACGCUUCCUCACCAGCUACGUCGACUCUUUGGUGGGGAUUCAGAACAAUCCAGAGGCGAGUCUCACCAAGGGGAAGCAUGUGGUUGAUACGAUUGUCCCCAAACGGAUCGUGCAACGGGAAGUCCAAGCGCCGCCAGUGCCGCUGCACUGGUCCAGACCAGCCACGGGGUGGACAAAGCUCAACAUUGAUGGAUCCUUUAGUGCCACGGGUGGAGAGGCCGGAGCAGGCAUGAUCGUUCACAGCGAAACCGGUGAUAUCAUCUUCUCCUCCUGCAGGGAACUACGGAUGUGCUCUGAGCCCCUUGAGGCCGAGCUACAUGCAUGCAUGGAGGGCUCAAUCUAG